GCCUUUUCUCAGGGGAGAGGCCGUCACUUAGAGAUGCGGACUCUCCUGCUCCUUCUCCUGGGACGAGGCUCUGUGCUUGCUGUGCUCAUCUCUCAAACGCCGAGCAGGGCUAUCUGUCAACGUGGAACCUCGGUGAUGAUCCAGUGUCAAGUCGAUAGCCAAGUCAACUUCAUGUUCUGGUACCGUCAGCUCCCGGGGCAGAGCUUGAUGCUGAUGGCAACUGCAAACCAGGGCUCUGAGGCCACAUACGAGAGCGGAUUUACCAAGGACAAGUUUCCCAUCAGCCGCCCAGAGCUAACAUUCUCAAACAUGACCGUGAGCAACGUGAGCCCCGAAGACAGCAGCUUAUACCUCUGCAGCGCUGGAGACACAGGCUGUGCGAACACCGGGCAGCUGUACUUUGGCAACGGCUCCAAGCUGACCGUGCUGGAGGACCUGAAAAAGGUGACCCCACCCAAGGUGGCUGUGUUUGAACCCUCGGAAGCAGAGAUCUCCCGCACCCAGAAAGCCACGCUCGUGUGCCUGGCCACAGGCUUCUACCCCGACCACGUGGAGCUGAGCUGGUGGGUGAACGGGAAGGAGGUGCAGAGCGGGGUCAGCACGGACCCCCAGCCCUACAAGGAGCAGCCCGGCCUCAACGACUCCACCUACUGCCUGAGCAGCCGCCUGAGGGUAUCGGCCACCUUCUGGCACAAUCCCCGCAACCGCUUCCGCUGCCAAAUCCGGUUCUACGGGCUCACAGAGGAAGACGAGUGGACCCAGGAUACACCCAAACCCAUCACCCAGAAUAUCAUUGCUGAGGCCUGGGGCAGAGCAGACUGUGGCUUCACCUCGGUGUCCUACCAGCAAGGGGUCCUGUCUGCCACCAUCCUCUACGAGAUCCUGCUGGGGAAGGCCACCGUGUAUGCUGUGCUGGUCAGCGCCCUCGUGCUGAUGGCCAUGGUCAAGAGAAAGGACUCCUGAGGCCAGCUCCAAAAGUACAUCCUGAGUCGUUCUUCAUCCUCACCUGGGAUUCUCCUGUACCUGCUCCCAACUGUGUCCCUAAAGAGUUACUGUGUCUCCACCUCUCAUCCCCUUCCUACAUGGACAUCUGUCCUUUUUCUCUGUCUCCCCGCAGAUGGAGCUCCCAACCCCCAAGUCUGUAACAGACUAAAGCAAUAAACAUGGCGUGCUGGGCCUGGCUGUUUCA
This is a non-coding RNA of Lemur catta (Ring-tailed lemur), 1189 nucleotides long. NCBI's taxonomy places the organism in Eukaryota, Metazoa, Chordata, Mammalia, Primates, Lemuridae. The record is from the annotation of a RefSeq genome assembly.